Molecule: long non-coding RNA, 1351 nt
Organism: Zingiber officinale
Lineage: Eukaryota; Viridiplantae; Streptophyta; Magnoliopsida; Zingiberales; Zingiberaceae
Exons: 4
Source: RefSeq, a predicted model, not a curated record
AGGCUGUCCGGAGCAGUUCCAGUCGCUGGCCCCCCCAUCAGCACGUAGAGCCAGUUCUCUGCUGGUUUGAGUCUUAUUGAUAUUUUGGCUUUUUCCAUAUAGAACGUUGUCUUAUUCUGGUUUUGGAUCUUUAUUUAUGGAAUGUGUAUGGAUUAUUUUUGUUUGAUGAACUCUUGAUGUGAUUUUUGGAUUCUAUUCUACUACGUACCUGCCUGGACGGCAGAAGAGGUGAGUUCGUCGGUUUUGAGCUUUACGAGUGUAGUGGAGUAGGGUGGAUUUCGAGUCAGAGUAUAUUUAUUUUAUGUUGCUAUUAUCAACUGCGUGGUUGUGGCAGCCAGAGGCUGAUUUUACAUAUAAACUGCGUGUGUAUGUUUUUUUUUAUUUACAGUUAUGAUUCCAGCCGCCUGUGGCUGAGUAUUUAGUGCUUGUAGAAUUUUUUGAUUGUCCGCCGUACAGGGGAGGUGCUGCCGAAAUUUUCUCGGUCAGGGACUCCUCUGGGGGCGUGACAAACACACUCUAAUAAAUAUUUCACUUGCAGGUGAUAAACCACAAGGAGCACAUAAUGUACAAGAUAAAUCAUGCCAUUCACCCCUCUCCAAAAAAGUUUCACUUAUAGGAGAUGAACCAUCAGAAGUACAUAAUGGGCAAGAUAAACCAAGCCAUUCGUGCCUCUCUAAAAAAGUUUCACUUGCAGGAGAUGAACUGGCAGGAGUACAUGAUGCACAAGAUAAACCAAGCCAUUCACUCCUCUCUAAACUUGCAGGAGAUAAACCAAGCCAUUCACUCCUCUCUGAAACUGUGCCUGGUGAUAAGCCAAGUCAUUCACGCCUCACUAUACAAGCACAUCUUCGUCCAUUUAUCACUUGCAGGCAAAAGUUUCUAGGAAUUGAUAUGUUCCAUUCCUUUAGUUGUAUCACCUAGAAGAAUCAUCAAGGUAGGAGUAGGUAGAAAGUUAAUUUAGAUACUAACCUCACUAUGCAAGUUAUCGGGACUGCAACAAAUGGUGAAUGGCUCUUCUUACUGUACACAAUGCAUUAGUAGCUGAUUUUGUUUACAUUCCUUGCAGUAGUACCAUUCGUGCUCUAUUCGGCAUGAAGAUCUACGCAUUCUGUUGCUUGAAAUAGCGGGUUGUUGUAUCGACAUCCAGAGCAUAAGAAAUCAAUACUUCCAUUUGCUCAGUACGUAACUCAGUCAAUUCGUGUAGCUUGAGACUUUUGAUGCAAUGAGUGAGCUUUGUUAGGUUGUAAAUUGCCUUUCUAAUGUGUAAAAGUCAUAUGGAGAACAGUACUAGAAAACAUGUGAUUUAUGCAUGCACUACAACAAAAACUGCAAACGACAACACCCCUACGAC